This 491-nucleotide ribosomal RNA is filed under the name uncultured bacterium. Its description in RNAcentral is "partial 16S ribosomal RNA". It matches the Rfam family "Bacterial small subunit ribosomal RNA", at positions 29 to 506 of the family's 1533-position model. The record is from RNAcentral.
AGUGAACGCUGGCGGUAGGCCUAACACAUGCAAGUCGAACGGCAGCACAGUAAGAGCUUGCUCUUACGGGUGGCGAGUGGCGGACGGGUGAGGAAUACAUCGGAAUCUACUUUUUCGUGGGGGAUAACGUAGGGAAACUUACGCUAAUACCGCAUACGACCUACGGGUGAAAGCAGGGGAUCUUCGGACCUUGCGCGAUUGAAUGAGCCGAUGUCGGAUUAGCUAGUUGGCGGGGUAAAGGCCCACCAAGGCGACGAUCCGUAGCUGGUCUGAGAGGAUGAUCAGCCCCACUGGAACUGGGACACGGUCCAGACUCCUACGGGAGGCAGCAGUGGGGAAUAUUGGACAAUGGGCGCAAGCCUGAUCCAGCCAUACCGCGUGGGUGAAGAAGGCCUUCGGGUUGUAAAGCCCUUUUGUUGGGAAAGAAAAGCAGCAGGUUAAUACCCCGCUGUUCUGACGGUACCCAAAGAAUAAGCACCGGCUAACUUCGU